RNAcentral lists this ribosomal RNA (350 nucleotides) under Galeommatoidea sp. MN7616. Its description in RNAcentral is "partial 16S ribosomal RNA". It matches the Rfam family "Archaeal large subunit ribosomal RNA", at positions 1954 to 2584 of the family's 2987-position model. Lineage: Eukaryota; Metazoa; Mollusca; Bivalvia; Galeommatida. The record is from RNAcentral.
CCCGGUGAUAUAUUUAACGGCCGCAGUUGAGAGCUGUGCUAAGGUAGCGUAGUAAGUUGUCCUUUAAAUGGGGAAAGGAAUGAAUGGUUUGACGUGGGAAAAUCUGUCUCUGGUAAAAUUGAAAAAAUUUUCUUUCUAGUGAAAAGCCUAGGAUUAAAUUAAAAGACGAGAAGACCCUUUCGAGCUUGAUUAAGCCUGGAAAAUUUUUUAGGUUAAAGUUUGGUUGGGGCAACCUAGGAGCAAGAAGAGACUCCUUGAAGAUGGUAGUGAGCCAAAAUUUUUGAGAGAAAGAAAAAGCUACCGUAGGGAUAACAGCGUUAUCUCUUCUGAGAGAACAUAUUGAAGAAGAG